Non-coding RNA from Anas platyrhynchos (mallard), 3328 nucleotides. NCBI's taxonomy places the organism in Eukaryota, Metazoa, Chordata, Aves, Anseriformes, Anatidae. The record is from RefSeq and is a predicted model, not a curated record.
CUAAUUUUGACCACUGAACAGAAGUUCCCCCGCUCCCUGUUUUGCUAAGGAAAAGUAGCACUGAAUGACUUACUUAACUAUUCGUAUCACAUAACAAGCUAGGAGAAAAUUAGUAAUACAACUCAACUCUGCACCCUACCCAAGGCUCUUGUUUCCCACUAUCUCACCGGCAGUAUGCUCUAAGAAACGACUCACGCCUAACUCUGAAGAGAGGCAAACAGAGCAGUGGAUACCUAAUCCCUGAGGGCCGGUCCACACAAUGAAAUAUUAACAGGAAUUCAGACUGAUUCAUUUCAUGAAGUAUUUCCCUGAAAAACAAUCACGCAUUUAAACUAGGUUCAGAACCCUACUCUGGGCAUCCAAAACCAAGUCACAUUUCACACUUUUCUUUGAAGUGGUAAGGACCCGAUGGGCUGGGAGCAUUUUACGUUAGAUUUCACUUUUCCUUUUGGAAUAAAAGCUACCUUAAACCCUACUGUUAAGGAAGAGAUUAGCUCCUCUGGAAAUGCCUACUGCCUGUACGCAGGAAACUCAAAGGAGAAGUCACUUAGAGCAGAGUGUUUACACUGAAGGGAUGCCUGGAGAAUGACUGUGAGGCAGCAGGUCUCGAUAUUCAGAACAUGAUAUAUACAACCAGGAGCUCCUGGGUGACAGCUCGCAGCGCUGGCACGUGCUCCCUGCUGCCUCAACGCAGCCUGCCAAAGCCAUGCCUGAACAGUUUAAAACAACACAACCCGAGCCGGAUCAGGCACACCUGAGCAAAAGCCACAUCCAAGCCACUGCGUCUUUACAGAAGCUACACCUGCUGCAGCCUCCACGCUAAGUACAAUGUGCCUUAUUUCCAAACUGAGCCAGAAACAGUGUGGAAAACAAGAGGGCUGGCAUCUCUCAAGCAGUCUGGUAAAAGGGCUUUUAUUUCAGCUGAUAAACAGCACGCAAGUCAAUCACACCGUCAUCUGGGUUGAAAAUAUUGCCAAAAUUGCAUCAGCUCAGCGUAAUGGUGAGACAAGUGUGAGCUUUUGUACUCGUAAUUAUCUGGAAGGAAAAUAUACUUUACUCCGAAACUGUUACCCGCUGUCACUUUACUGUAGACACCUGCAGUCUUAUCAGAAGUCGUUAGACGCAGUGCUCUAAAAAGCUCAGAUGUUCAGAGAUAUCCCUGCACUUAAUUUUUACUAUCGGUAGUUCAACUGAAAUAAAUGUCAUCACUGACAGCAGUAAGUAUGCCCCUGCACAGGUUCACAGGCUUAAACCACACAAGCGUGGAGCUAGCGCAACCAAAAUCGAUGUUUCUUGGCAUAGUCACUACAAUGAGGCUGAGAGCUUUUGUGCAAAAUCCAGUUCAGUAUGACAAACACGCAAGGCUGCCCUGAAACACGGUAAGGUUUGUUAAGCCAGCGAUUACAGAAGGACAGAAGUACAACUUCUCACAAAGGUGAAGAAAAGAGGUUGGAGUUGGAAGGUGUGGGGAGUGGACAUACGCAAGACCCAGAGAGUGAGCUGGCCGUGGACAGCCAGCCGCCAACCUGCAGCUCCAGAACAACAACGCUGCCUCCUCUACCACAACCGUGGAGCCUCCUUUGUGCUCCUAUCAGCCCAAUUUUUGGAACGAGCAACUGGCAGCCAGCAGCAGUACGGGUAAAACCUGAGCAGCACGACCAGCGCAAGGUGCAGGCACCACCACACCGCCCUCAGCCAGCGCUCAGGAAGCGGCGUGCGACAAGCACCGCACACAUCCAGGGCGCUCGUUCUCAGGCUAUUGUGACUGGAGGAAAAAAAUAAUAAAACAAUAAAAAAAAAAAAAAACAGCAACGUGGAGUCGCACCCAAGACUUUUCCGUGGCUGGGCUGGCCCAGCAGCCUGGGCGCGGGAGCAGGCAGCGAGGCCAAGCCUGCACGGUUCACCGGAGCCUUGUGUUAAUAAACAACCCGGAUCAGGGCCAGGCCAGGAGCAAGUGUGAAUUUCCUCCUCCUCCUCCUCCUCCUCCUCCUGCCGUGGGCACACGCGUGACGAGCCCCCACGCCGGAGGGGGGCUGCGCUGCGGGGCACGGCCUGUUGUCUUUUGUAUUUUAUUUUAUUUUUAAAUAAAAGUGAACUCAGCCAGCCCGAUCCCCUGGAAACGCCCAUCUGGCCGGGAAGCGGCGUCCCGCUGUGUUUUUCCGGUAGAUCGUGCCACCAGACACAGUAGGUUGUUCUGGCAGUGCCUACGAAGACCAAGAACCGGCGUGGAUCUGCAAUUUGAUAGUCCACAACCCCGGCAGAGAGCUGCAUGCUCCACUGGCAGGCAACACUGGGAGAGUGAUCGCUUGAUUUGGAUGCUGGGCUGUGCCUGGGUAUUGGUAAAACUGGAUUGUUCAAGACACAGGGUGAGAAACGGGCUGCAUUACUGCAAGAUCAGGAAGGACACUUCCAGGUACCGGUUGUGCAUAGAUCACCAUUUUGCUGUUGCUGGCUACACAGAUAAAAUUGUUUUUCCUGGGGAAAAGAGGUGGUUGCACUGGGAAAACUGGCUACCCAAAGUAGUUACAUUAGCAUUGCUGGCAUGCCUGGGUUCUCAAAUGCUGAGGAGCACCAGGAAUAAACUUAUCGCUGUGCUGUACCCAUGUGGUGUAUAUAAUCAGCUGUGAAUUAAUUUAUUUCUUUUUUAACUGCAGCUAGUCAGCAUUUCUAAACUGUAGCUAGACUCCAGUCUGGAUACAAGCAAGUCCUUCAAACUGAGCAGAGCCGGAGCAGGCUAAUAACGUUUGGAUUUCAUUUCCCAGAAAUCCCACAUCACUACAAAGUAUUUCAGUAGUGGCAGGAGCACUGGAAAUGCUCCUUAUGAUCAAAUAGCAGCAGCAACCACUCUGCUGAUAAACUGUGCCCUGAGCUGGACAGUGCUGAAACAGUAUUAAAAGAAACAAGGCCCACUUGUCCUGCAGAACAAGUCACUGCCAUCAAUGGUCUAACUGCAGCAGCUUUAGCACAACAUCAAGGUUUAAGAAAAAAUUUAAUAUAGACGCAAAAUUAGCUGUCUGAAUGAACCAGCAGGACAGUAUGUAUACGGAGAUUGUACUGUUUGAGAUAAAGCGUGAGCUCUGGUCUCCUUGGAAAAGCUAGUGUGCAGAGAGCUAAAGCAUGAAAUUACAGUGUACCAACUAUUUUACAGUGGAAAAUGUGUGCUGCUUCACUUUCAAUCCCUAUUCUUUUCAUGGGGUUACUGCAAUGGGAAGUAGAACAGCUGCUGUAAAGCCUAGCAAGUGACAUGAUUCCUGUGAACAGUUGUAGAAGAAAUCUCAGAGCUAUUUAUGAAUGGAAAGCAUUAUGCAAAUAAAAUACAUUAUAAACA